GCCUUUGUGGUGUAGUGGUCAGCAGGCUUGACGCGUAACCGCGAGGUCCGUGGUUCGAUUCCCGGCGAAGGCG
Non-coding RNA from Stegodyphus mimosarum, 73 nucleotides. Lineage: Eukaryota; Metazoa; Arthropoda; Arachnida; Araneae; Eresidae. The record is from Rfam.